RNAcentral lists this ribosomal RNA (441 nucleotides) under uncultured bacterium. Its description in RNAcentral is "partial 16S ribosomal RNA". It matches the Rfam family "Bacterial small subunit ribosomal RNA", at positions 338 to 795 of the family's 1533-position model. The record is from RNAcentral.
CCUACGGGAGGCAGCAGUCGGGAAUAUUGCGCAAUGGAGGAAACUCUGACGCAGUGACGCCGCGUGCAGGAAGAAGGUUUUCGGAUUGUAAACUGCUUUAGACAGGGAAGAAAAAAGACAGUACCUGACUAAGAAGCCCCGGCUAACGACGUGCCAGCAGCCGCGGGAAUACGUAGGGGGCAAGCGUUAUCCGGAUUUACUGGGUGGAAAGGGAGCGUAGACGGCGAUGCAAGUCUGAAGUGAAAGGCGGGGGCCCAACCCCCGGAUUGCUUUGGAAACUGUAUGGCUGGAGUGCAGGAGAGGUAAGUGGAAUUCCUAGUGUAGCGGUGGAAUGCGGAGAUAUUAGGAGGAACACCAGUGGCGAAGGCGGCUUACUGGACUGUAACUGACGUUGAGGCUCGAAAGCGUGGGGAGCGAACAGGAUUAGAUACCCGAGUAGUC